AGACAGCAUCUCUCAGUUCAUCCUGCAACCAGAUUAACACUGGAUAUAUUACACUGGCUCAGACCAGAAUAAUCCUAUCAAUUGCUUCUAACCUAACCAGCAAGAUAAAAUGCUGUUUUUUUUUUUUUUUAAGGAAUAUAGCAUGCACAAGCUUAAUGUGAAAAGGAUUAGUGAACCAACUAAAAACAGAUUCACUUUGAAAUCAAAUAGUCCAUGGAAUGAAAACAUAUAAGAAAGACAAAUCCAAUCACCAAAUGAAUGGGUGCCCUCUUUAUAAAAAUAAGGUAGUAAGAUGAAAGAAUUUCAAGCAUUAACCUUAGUAACACAUAGAUCAACUGAUCAACAAAUUGUUGCUCCAAAACCACUUCUUUCAAAUAGAGAAUGCUUUUUAUGGUGCCCUUUUUUACCACCUUAUUUAUCCUGCAUGAUGUGGCAUCACCCUAGUCAUCAUAAUCCCUCCCUAUCCAAGAAUUUUAAAGCAGAACAUCACACCAAUAGCAUUGUCAUGUUAUGUAGGACAAAUAUGCAGUGCAAAAAUAUUGGUAUGUUUGGCAUGAUUCUUUUGGAAAAUGGCAAAAUUAAGGCCAAAAAAGAAAAACAUAA
This 603-nucleotide unclassified non-coding RNA is filed under the name Hevea brasiliensis (rubber tree). Lineage: Eukaryota; Viridiplantae; Streptophyta; Magnoliopsida; Malpighiales; Euphorbiaceae. The record is from RNAcentral.